GGCCUCCUGGUACUUACCACAGGCUGUGUUCCCAUACUGACUGGAUAGAAAGAGGAGGCAGAGCACAUCUAUCCGAAACACACAUCAGCCCAGGCCCUGUGCAUAGUCUGUACUGUGAAUGGGGGGACAUGG
Tupaia belangeri (northern tree shrew) is the source of this 132-nucleotide small nucleolar RNA. The record is from Ensembl. Lineage: Eukaryota; Metazoa; Chordata; Mammalia; Scandentia; Tupaiidae.